GAUGAACGCUGGCGUACAGGCGUUAACACAUGGCAAGUCGCGGGGCGAGCGGGGCGUAGCAAUACGCCUGCCGGCGACCGGCGCACGGGUGAGUAACGCGUAUCCAACCUGGCCCUUAGUAGGGGAUAGCCCGGCGAAAGUCGGAUUAAUACCCUAUGUUCUCUGCAGCGGACAUCUAACGCAGAGCAAAGACUUGUCGCUAAGGGAUGGGGAUGCGUCCGAUUAGCUUGACGGCGGGGUAACGGCCCACCGUGGCUGCGAUCGGUAGGGGUUCUGAGAGGAAGGUCCCCCACACUGGUACUGAGACACGGACCAGACUCCUACGGGAGGCAGCAGUGAGGAAUAUUGGUCAAUGGGCGUAAGCCUGAACCAGCCAAGUAGCGUGCGGGAUGACGGCCCUACGGGUUGUAAACCGCUUUUGUGCGGGAAUAACGUACGCCACGUGUGGUGUAGUGCAUGUACCGUACGAAUAAGGAUCGGCUAACUCCGUGCC
Molecule: ribosomal RNA, 493 nt
Filed under: uncultured bacterium
Lineage: Bacteria
Description: bacterial SSU rRNA
Rfam family: Bacterial small subunit ribosomal RNA
Source: RNAcentral